UUCCAGACUCCUACGGGAGGCAGCAGUGGGGAAUAUUGCACAAUGGGGGAAACCCUGAUGCAGCGACGCCGCGUGAGUGAAGAAGUAUUUCGGUAUGUAAAGCUCUAUCAGCAGGGAAGAUAAUGACGGUACCUGAGUAAGAAGCCCCGGCUAACUACGUGCCAGCAGCCGCGGUAAUACGUAGGGGGCAAGCGUUAUCCGGAUUUACUGGGUGUAAAGGGAGCGUAGACGGCAUGGCAAGUCUGAAGUGAAAGCCCGGGGCUCAACCGCGGGACUGCUUUGGAAACUGUUAAGCUGGAGUGCAGGAGAGGUAAGUGGAAUUCCUAGUGUAGCGGUGAAAUGCGUAGAUAUUAGGAGGAACACCAGUGGCGAAGGCGGCCUGCUGGACGAUGACUGACGUUGAGGCUCGAAAGCGUGGGGAGCAAACAGGAUUAGAUACCCGCGUAU
Molecule: ribosomal RNA, 447 nt
Filed under: uncultured bacterium
Lineage: Bacteria
Description: bacterial SSU rRNA
Rfam family: Bacterial small subunit ribosomal RNA
Source: RNAcentral